Molecule: ribosomal RNA, 253 nt
Filed under: uncultured bacterium
Lineage: Bacteria
Description: partial 16S ribosomal RNA
Rfam family: Bacterial small subunit ribosomal RNA
Source: RNAcentral
UACGAGGGGUGCGAGCGUUGCUCGGAAUUAUUGGGCGUAAAGGGUAGGUAGGUGGUUUCGUUUGUCUGGGGUGAAAGCCUUGAGCUUAACUCAAGAAGUGCCCCGGAAACGGCGAAACUCGAGUACUGGAGAGGGUCGUGGAAUUCCCGGUGUAGCGGUGAAAUGCGUAGAGAUCGGGAGGAACACCGAUGGCGAAGGCAGCUCGCUGGGACGGUACUGACGCUGAGGCGCGAAAGCGUGGGGAGCAAACAGG